Molecule: transfer RNA, 73 nt
Filed under: Felis catus (domestic cat)
Lineage: Eukaryota; Metazoa; Chordata; Mammalia; Carnivora; Felidae
Rfam family: tRNA
About the family: Transfer RNA (tRNA) molecules are approximately 80 nucleotides in length. Their secondary structure includes four short double-helical elements and three loops (D, anti-codon, and T loops). Further hydrogen bonds mediate the characteristic L-shaped molecular structure. tRNAs have two regions of fundamental functional importance: the anti-codon, which is responsible for specific mRNA codon recognition, and the 3' end, to which the tRNAs corresponding amino acid is attached (by aminoacyl-tRNA synthetases). tRNAs cope with the degeneracy of the genetic code in two manners: having more than one tRNA (with a specific anti-codon) for a particular amino acid; and 'wobble' base-pairing, i.e. permitting non-standard base-pairing at the 3rd anti-codon position.
Source: Rfam by way of RNAcentral
GCCUGGCUGGCUCCGUUGGUGGAGCAUGAGACUCUUGAUUUCGGGGUUGUGAGUUCAAGCCCCACGCUGGGUG